AUUGAACGCUGGCGGCAGGCCUAACACAUGCAAGUCGUGCGGAUGAAGGGAGCUUGCUCCUGGAUUCAGCGGCGGACGGGUGAGUAAUGCCUAGGAAUCUGCCUGGUAGUGGGGGAUAACGUCCGGAAACGGGCGCUAAUACCGCAUACGUCCUGAGGGAGAAAGUGGGGGAUCUUCGGACCUCACGCUAUCAGAUGAGCCUAGGUCGGAUUAGCUAGUUGGUGGGGUAAAGGCCUACCAAGGCGACGAUCCGUAACUGGUCUGAGAGGAUGAUCAGUCACACUGGAACUGAGACACGGUCCAGACUCCUACGGGAGGCAGCAGUGGGGAAUAUUGGACAAUGGGCGAAAGCAUGAUCCAGCCAUGCCGCGUGUGUGAAGAAGGUCUUCGGAUUGUAAAGCACUUUAAGUUGGGAGGAAGGGCAGUAAGUUAAUACCUUGCUGUUUUGACGUUACCAACAGAAUAAGCACCGGCUAACUUCGUG
This 484-nucleotide ribosomal RNA is filed under the name uncultured bacterium. RNAcentral's name for it is "partial 16S ribosomal RNA". It matches the Rfam family "Bacterial small subunit ribosomal RNA", at positions 30 to 507 of the family's 1533-position model. The record is from RNAcentral.